Long non-coding RNA from Prosopis cineraria, 474 nucleotides. RefSeq lists it as uncharacterized. The transcript has 2 exons. The record is from RefSeq and is a predicted model, not a curated record. Lineage: Eukaryota; Viridiplantae; Streptophyta; Magnoliopsida; Fabales; Fabaceae.
CUUUAUACCUACGUGGCGUCUGGCCUUAGGUGCUCCAUGUAAACUACAAGUAAGAUCCUCACAUUUCUUUUAAAAUUGAAUAUCUGAUUUAAUAUUAUAACAUUUUUUAAUUACUUUAUUAGUGUGUUUAACAUAUAAAUUUCAGAGUUUCUCUGAUCACGGCUUAAGGGAUGUGAGGUUUAUGCCUAUAUCCCAUGUCGGUCACACUUGAUUUUUGGGGUGGGACAAUCUUUCCACCUUAGAAAGGCUUCUGUUUCAAUCUCUUCAUAUAUUCUUAAACAAAUUGCCAAGAAAACCGCACAUGUGGCUUGAACUGCAAGGACUCUGGUUUGUUACACGAAUUGACAAUAUGUAUUAUGUAGUUAACUUUGCAUGGGAAUAUGGCAACAUUUGUUCUCAAUAUGUCAAUCUGAUACAUAGAGCAGAGUGUAACUUUUGAAUUAUAUAAUAUUCUAUCUACAAGCACUUCGUGGA